GCCAUAUUUUGCAAUUUAAACUGAAAGCAGAUGUCAUUUAAUUCAAAAGAUCAUUGAAACAAUAAAUUGGCAGAAGAUAUGAAUAUUAACAGCAUUAGCCACCCACAUGUAAAAAACACAAACUGCAUCCAAUUGUUCUAGGUUUCAUAAUAAUAGCCAAAAAAGAUGAAAAUGGAGUAACAAAGCAUAGUGAGACACAGCUAAAGGAAGCUACUAAAACAAGGGAUAGAGCAAACAAGUAGGAUACUAAGAAACGAAGGACAGAGGAAACAAGUAAGGAUACUAAGGAGCAGUAGUACCAAUUAAAGCAAACAAGAAAAUAGACACUCAACUAACAAAAGCUAAUAACCCCAUAUGAAGAUUGACCUAGUGGAAAUAGAAUUCCCAACAAAACUUAUCUGCCCUGUCCCUCUUGUAUGCUUUUCAAAUUUUGGUUAUAGUUGAUUUGUCCUCACUUGGCCAUCAUCACUUUGACAAACUCCUCAUAGUUGAUCUGGCCAUCGCCGUCGACAUCAGCCUCGCGAAUCAUCUCAUCAACCUCCUCAUCGGUCAGCUUCUCCCCCAGAUUUGUCAUAACAUGGCGGAGCUCAGCAGCAGAUAUAAAACCAUUCUGAUCCUUGUCGAACACACGGAAAGCUUCUUUAAGCUCCUCCUCUGAGUCAGUGUCUUUCAUCUUGCGAGCCAUCAGAUUGAGGAACUCCGGGAAAUCGAUGGUUCCGUUGCCAUCAGCAUCAACCUCAUUUAUCAUGUCCUGCAACUCUGCCUCAGUUGGGUUUUGCCCAAGUGACCGCAUUACAGUCCCAAGUUCCUUGGUAGUAAUGCAACCUAAACCACAUUACAAAACUGUUCAACAGAAAUAUGAUUCAUUCAAACCCACAAGUGAAAUGCAGGUCAAAGUUUUGAAAACAUGACGGAAUAAAGAACAUAAAUCCGGUUAUACUGGGAGGAAAGUUUCAGAAGAAAAAGAUAAUCUGAAGCAGGUACAACAACGGAAAGUGAAGAACACUGUAAAGUACCAUUGCGUCAAAGGAACACACAUGCUAGAUAUUUGGUAACAAUUUUCUACAGUAAUGAUUAAUUAACAAUUCGGACAAGAUACUGUUAGCAUCCUUGGUAGUAGGGGUUUGCCUAUCAGCUGAGAUACUCAUAGCAGAAACAUGCAUAGAAUGACAUAAUGGUUAACAAAUCUAGACAGAAUGAAAUACAUAGUCAAAAACAAAAAAUCUAGCCAAAUAAAAAUGUCUAGCUAAACCAAAUGAUCCAAAUAUCAAAUUCCAUUACAUAAAUAUACACAUGCUACACUAUCACUGCUUACUUCAGUUGCCAAAACAAACACCCGUAUUUUUAGUAUUUACAAAGGACAAACUUACGCAUUUCUGAAUCUACAUAUCACAUAAAACUCCUACGGAAAAAACAGAUCCAUAAUAUAAAAUCUAGAUGUUUCCACAAAACGAUAAGCACAACCAAGACUUGUCAUCAACAACCCAAUAGGAUGACACAAACAGAUCCACCAACCAAAACGGUCCAACAAGCUAACAUUCUAUUCUCAGACACCACAAAAACAUAAAUCGCCAAAUUUAACACAGCAAACUGCCAACCUUCCGAAUUCAACUUUACAAAUCAUAACCCACAUCCCCAAUUUCCACAUCUACGAAAACCAUUCCGAUUUCCGACACGUGCAUCAAACAACAAAAAGCAAACCCCAGUUCCAAAUCCAACGCUAAAAAUCCAUUUCCAAUUCCACGAUCCAAAUCCACCCACACCCGGAAUCAUAACUCUUCACAAAACAAAACAUCAUCAACAAACACAAAACCACGAGAAUCGUAGAAAUUUCCACAUCAACAUCCAAAAGGUCAAACAAAACCGGAACCCUAUAUCACCAAGUAUAAGUGUCAUAUAAAUUCAAUCCCCCUACCUCAAACUACCAAAAAUAUCAAAUUUAGCACAAAAAGAAAAACACAAACAAGACCCCCCAAGAACAAACGAAUUGCGGAAACCAGAUCUGGGAAAGAGGGAAAAGUGAAACAAGGAAGAGAGAAAAAGGAAAAAGACAGAGAGGGAUCUGAGGAGAGAGACCAUCGCCAUCCUUGUCGAAGAGGCUGAAGGCCUCCUUGAACUCGGCGAUCUGGUCGUCGGUGAGCUGGUCGGCCAUUGGAGCAGAGAGGGGGGCGUUUUUGGGAGGCGAGAAAGUGAGGGAAAACGAGAGCGAAGGAAAAUGAAUGUGGAAUACAAAAAGAGGAGGAAUGGGGUAUAUAUAUAAAAUAAAAUAAAAAUAUAUAUUUAAUAUAUUUCAUUUAAUAUAUAUUCCUUACACCUUCCUCUCAAGCUAUGGUCCCAAACUGUCUGUGUUUAAUGUUAAAUUAUGUCACUUUUGAAAGUCACGAUCUUAAAAUUAUAAAUUAAAAAAUUUAGUUUACUUUUAUAUUUUAUUAUUUAAUUGUGUUUUUUUUUAUUUUCCCUACGUUUUAUUGAUUUAUUAUAAAUAUCUUAUUAAUUUCUUAAAAAUCACGUUAUUCUAACACCAUUUAUUUUUAAUUUCUUUUACCUUGUUAGACAUUUAAAGAAUGAGUAAAAACCAUAAAAUUUAAAAUCUAAUAAUGAAAUCAAUACAAAGUCAUGGUAAAUUUUUGUGAAUAAUAAUAAUUGCUUAUAAAAUAUGUAAUUAAAAUUAAAAGAUUUUAAGCAAAAUUAUACUUUUGGUUUUUGUGUAAAAUCUCAUAAAAUGGUAUUUUAAAAGUCACGAUAGUUUAAAAAUAGUGAAACUCAGUUAUUUUAAUAUUAAAUAGUUUAGUUAUAAAUAGUUUUGUUAUAAACGAGUUUUAAAUAUUUUAAAACGUAUCAUCUCUCUAUAAACCACUUUUCUAGGGUUCUUUACCUUCCCUCUAAGUGUUCGUGCUCCUAAGUCAUCUGUUUGACAAUCAAGAGUUGUCUAUACGAUCACGAUGUUAAGGUCUACAAAUUUAGCCAAUCACUUUCAAGAAUAAAGCAAAUAAGUUUCGACUCAUUUUUCCCCUUCCGUUCCCAAAUAUGUUUUAGAAUAAUCUAGUAUUGUUGCAUGUGUAAUCAUGCUUCUUCUAGUCGUUCUUGGUUCACCUAGAAUUCUAUAGGUUGAGAUUCCUUGCAUUUCAAACAAUUGGCGAAAUGUUUCUUUGAGUUGGACAGUUUAUUGUAGGAUAAGGAAAGCUAGAUUUGUCUUAAAUUAUGUUUGUUUAUAUUAAAAUAGAAUCUAUAAGAAUAAUAUGAUGUAUUGGAUGAAAUUCUAAUGGUAGUAUAGAAUUAGAUAGGUAUAAAUAAUGAUAGUUGGCAUUAUGAAGUGUUUGUGAUUGUAAUAAUAUGAAAUUGAUGUUCUAUGUUGUUAUGAAUAUGUGUGAUGAAGUUGUGUUGCUGUUUGAAACUGAAUUCAAAAUUAUGGUGAUGAGAAAUAUUGAAAUUCUUUGGUUUUAUGCCUGAAAUGGGGGUUUGAAGGUGUGAAUUUGAGAAUUUAGGGUUGAUGUGAGGAAACUAUUGUCUAGGUACUUGUUAAGAAUCUGGCAAGUGUACCGAAUCAUAUCAAGUAAUAAUAAGUGGUAAGACCAAGUAUCAUUUCCCUAGAGACUCAUAGGCCUAGACUUUCAUGUAAUUUGUUGAUUAUAUAAUACUUGAAUAACGAAAAUUAGGGUUUAUAAUGCAAAAACGAAAAUUAAACAUGCACAUGCAAAAGUUUUGAUCAAUUGACCAAGAAGAUAACGCAGGUGAUUGAUAUGGAUGAAUGGUGUUGUUGGGGUUUCCGACUUAUCCUAAUCCACUCUCAAAUAUUUACGAAUUUUACUUUAUUCUACUUUCUUUAUUAAUGUUAAUGCCACUUUCUAAUUCACCCUAAUCCCAAUGUCUUGGUGAAGAGAACCUACUCCUAAUCACUAGUUUACAAUGUCUUGUCUCCCUAGCAAUUAUUCAUGCAUUACAUAAUUCGUACAAAAGCUUAAAGGCAAUCGGUCCUCCUAUCCCUAUGUCUAGGUAAUAUUACUCCCGAGAGAAUUCCCUCACGUCUAGACCUACCCAUAUGUGUCCAUAUAGAUAGAAUCAAAGAUCACACUAUUGAAUAAUGUCUUAAACAAAGCAUGCAAAUAUAAUGGAGGAAAAGCUCUAACAAUUAAUAAAAGAAAACAUAUGAAUAAAGCAAUAAUUGAGAGUUUCAAUAGGUUUACAUCAUUUCCCCAACAACAAUGAAGGUUUAGUUCACCAUGGACAUGGUGAAACUAGAUGAAAAAAAGAAAAGAAUGAAAAGAUAAACCCUAGAUUUGAUAGAUUGGAGCUCCCGCAUCCAAAAUCCUCCUCCAAGGGGUGAAAAGAGUGUUUUUGCGCCUCCUUCUAUCAAAAGAUAGUCUCUCUAGGUUGUCUGGGUCUUUAAAUAGAUCAUAAAAAUAAUAGAAAAACUGGCCCAAGCCCACAAAAAUGGCAUUCGACACUGGUUUACCACUCAACGGUGGGUGCAACACUCAUUUGACACUCAGUGGUGAUGCUCAAGCGUAAAACAGUGAAAACUGGCGAAAACCGACACUCACGGUGGCGCUCAGCGCCACCUGCAAUACUGAAACUGCACUAUGAUUGACUUUUCAGCAUUCUGGUUGAUUGGUUGACUUUUUGGUUGACUGGUUGACUUUCUGGUUGACUGUUGACUUUUCUGAUUGAUUGGUUGACUUUUCUGUACUCCAACCAUUUGAUACUUUAACUCUUCUUUCAAUUCAUUCCAAUAACCUACAAAAUCAAGGGAAUUUAGUGAUAAAAUCAUAAAGCAUAUCCUCAACUCUCUUAUUCACAAAACUAAAGCAAAAUCAUAAGUCCAAGCAAGUUUCUAAGUCAAAAAGGGUGCAUUAAGUAUCAAAAUUAAGUAUGAAGAUAACGAUUUUUCAACCAUUAUUGGUUUUGUCAUGAGGUGAUUUAGGACUUGUUAAGAAGGCUAGAUGGUUGAAAACUGUUUUGUAGAAAAAGGAGAGUUUCUAAUUAAAGUUUUGAAGUGUUUUUGGUGUAAAAAGGGGGUUUUGAGUAGUGAGAUUUUAGAGUAGUGAGUCUAAACUAUUUUGGAAGGUUAGAGGUCUAUUGCUAUACCUAUUAGGACUUGUUUAGGUGCUAAAACCAGUAAAAUCUGUUAUGAAAGUGUUAAUGGCUUCAUAAGUUGCGUUUUGUCCAUUUUAGAGGUUUUAAGGCUUGAAAUAGAAAGUAGGAUAUCUAGGAUGAAAUUGAGGUUUUGGAGAGUGCUAACAAGUGUGUUUAUACUUGUUUAUGUAGAUUAUAAACUGGUUUGAAGGCUUAAAAGUGUAGAAUUGAAAUUGGGUAGCUUGUAGGAGUGAAUUUGGAUUUUAAAGUGUCAAAUUGAGUUGCAGCAGUGUUUUCAGAGUUUUCUCAAGGUUUGGAGGGUCCUAGGAACCUUUAGAAGUUGGGGGUAUAGUGUUCAAAGUAAGAAAAUUGAGUCUUAAUUUUACUGAUAGCACCUGAGUGUCCAAAUUGGGCAUUGAGCACUGAAAAUGGUGAAAGUUGCGCUCAGGGCGCUGAAAACUAAAGCUGGAUGCUAAUGUUUCAGUGCUGAGCGCCGCCCUUGGGCGCUUAAGCAUUACUAAGGGACAUUGCACCAGUUUUGGAGAGUUUUUAGGGUUUUUUAUGUCCGUUUUGGACGUUCUUUAAGUCGUUUUAAGGGUUUUGGACCCUUUCAGAGCUGUUGGUGAUGAUUUCAAAGUUGUUUUCCUUACCUAAAUAUGGGUAAUAAGAUGCCUUAAAGAAAAAUGUGUUAUUAUGUGACUUGUGAUGACUUAUUUGGUUGAUUUUGGUUCUUCGAAUUAUAAUUAGUGAUCUUAUAUGAUAUUAGUCAAUGUAAAUGGAUGAUUUACAUGUGAAUGGAAGUUUUGCAUAUGAAUAUUGUGAUGAAAAGUUUGUGAAUGAAGUGAAUGGUUGUUGGACGUAAUUCCAUGACUCGUGGAGAGGUUGCAUGGUAGUGCCUUGUAGUGUUUUUUGUAUGAAUGGUCGCAGUUAAUCCGAAGGUUUAUCCUGACGCUCUCAAUAACCUCAAUCUCAAGUAGAGAUGGAUCAUUAUGUGGUGGAGAGUAGCAGGAGGUCCUAGUCUAUGGUCACCGGUCAGGGAUAUAAAUGUUGACGGACUAACCUUGUGGAUGACGUUGGUGUUUGUAUCUAGAUUUGAAUGGGUAUUGUUGGAGGUCACCACAAGUGCAUGAUCCACCGUAGCUCGACAUUCAUACUGUAUCAGGAUGGUCAGGUCUAAGUUUGUGUCAUAUUUAUGAUGAAUGUUUAUUGUGUGUGUGGAACGUGAUGUAUGAUGAAAUUUUAUUGUUUCAUGAUAAAAUGUUUUAUCAUUAGCUUACGCUUGUUUUUCUGUUGUCUGUCUUUGUAUGUUAUUUCUCUUUUGCGAUUAUCACCUAAUGGUUUGAGCUUACGGAGUCGCCUUUUCAGUUGUUCCAGCGAGAGGUGGGGGCAAAACAGAUGAGUUGUUGGAUAGAUCUACAAAAGUAGAUCUCUUCUUUGAAGGAGGUUUGUUUUACCUAGUUGUUCUUUUAGCAUCUAUGUAACGUUUCAUUUUGAUAGUUUUAUACUAUUAAAAUGGGAUGUUACAUUUUUUAUGCAUAUUAUUUAUGAAGUUAUUUAUUUUUAUAGUUUUGUCUUUAAAUUUAAAAAAAAAAAAUCAUAAAUUUGAUCCAAAUUCUCAAUUUGACAUAUAUUAUGUAUUUUUUUUAUGUUAGUCUAAUUGAACCUUAUAUCUAAUAUUUUCAUUAUUAUCCAUAUUUAAAAUAUAUAAAAAAAUAUGUUAAAAGGACAUGAAAAAUAUUUUAGAUUAAGAAUAAAUGAUAAGUAAACGAAAUAAGUAGAAAAUAUGGGUAACUAUUAUUUUAUUAUUAAAAAGCAUGAGUUAUAAAUAGAAAACUAAUUAAUAGAUUUCAUUAUAUAAAAAUUAUAAUAUAUUUAGAUAUUCUCAUCUUCUUUUCUUAUAAAUAUAAUUAAUUUAUUCACCUUGGAAAAUUAGAGUAAACCAUCUUGGUAUAGAGGAUUUUCAUCCUAUCAUAUAAUUAAAGUAAGUUCAUCUUCUAUCUUUCUUUUCAGUUAAAGUAGAUCACAAAGUUCUUGAUCUUGACUGUAAUCACCAUAUGAUCCUCUUUUUUUGGGUUAGUAGCUUUGAAGUAUGUGUUGGUGAAGGUUAUAGGGGACAUAUUCCUUCUUAUUGGGGUCGAUAAUGCUUUUACCGAUUGCACCUAUAAUAUCUGAGUAAUAAAUAUCAAUUUAGGCAUAAGUUAAUUGGUUAAAAAAAGUGUUGGUUAAUAAAAUAGACUAUAUGUUAUAUAAAUGCUAUGUUGUUUACUUAGUAGAAGUGUUGGGUGGAAAAUUAACGAAAGGCAUAAUUAUGAUAGGUGUCGUAAAAUAGGAGUUAAAUAACUAUAAAAUUGUUAAUAUAAUCAAGAGAGUUAGUUGAUGUGAUGGUAAAUAUGAGUAUAUUUUUGGGUAGUGUUAAGGAUGAUGGGAUUUGAUCCUUGGCAAGAACAAAAGAGAUUUUUUUUUAUUUGUUUUUGUUUUGUUAGCUUAUUUUUUUUUAAAGGAAAAAAUAACUUUUUGGAUGAGGGAAACCGCGAGAAGUUUAGAAAACAGAAAAACACUAUUGUGUUUGAAACAACCUCGUUCGUCCUUUUUCUUCUUCUCUUUUUGCUUUGAACCAAAACCCUAGGUCGAGGGGGAACUGUGUGGCGAGCGUUAUAAGCGUUUAAUGCUCAAUUAUAACGAAGGAGAAUAGUGGGUAGAAAAAAAAGAGUGGAGGUUUUAAGAGGUUAUCUUGCGAAAAGGAAACACAGGAGGGAGUGAGGGAAGUUGAGAACGAAAAGUUCUUAGAGUUUUUGAUGAGUUUGGGGUUUAGAUGAGUGACAGAGUGAGGAUGAAUUCAAUGUGGUCGAGAGGCGGAACAUAGAGUUUGAGAAGAGACCUUGGAGUGAAGUAUCUGAAAAACACUAGAAGGGGGACCGGGGGGUGUGGGGAGAGAGGGUGAGAUGAUUAGUUAAACCCACAAUCUCUGUGAUAUCUGUUUUUGAUGAUGACAACACAUUGUUAAUAAAAACACAUGUGCAUGUGUUGUGUUACAUGUAUUAUAUGCUUAUGCUUAAUAUGAGAUUUGUACAAGCAUUGUUGUGGACAUAUUGUAAUGAUGAUUAUUGCAUAUUACUGCGUUUGCAAUGUGAUUAUAUAUGUGUAUGCAUAAUAUGUGUUUUGUAAAUGAAAAACCAUAAGCGCCAAGCAUAUCUGCAUGACUUAAUCGAUUACGAUAGUGCAUUAAUCAAUUAAGGUCAUAAGACAUCUUAAGCUUUAAACUGUGGCAAAACAACAAGUUUUAAAUUAAUUACAUUAGUGGUUAAAUCGAUUAAAACUCAUGUGUUUGCACAAAUAUUUUUCAAAGUGUGUUGUGAUGGAUUUUGAGAAGAAAAGUUUACAAAAUAUGCUAAGUGUUAUAACUUAAUCGAUUACAUGGAUUAUGUAUUCAAUUAAGUUAGUUAAAGAUUUGAAAAUUGUUUCAUUGCUUGACAUAAUUGUCACAACGGUCAUAUUUUUAAAUAUGUUGACCAAGCAUUUAUUGCAAAUCGAUUACAUUAAUUAAACAUUCAAUUAAUUACAUUGACUGCUGUUAAUCUAUUAUAACUGUGACAUGUAUUCAAUUAGAUUAAUAACGUAAUCGAUUAAAAUGGGUCUGAUUUGACUUAAACUAUAAAUAGAUGUGUGAUUUGAAUUCUAAAAAGACAAUUGUGAUUUACACUUUCAUAUCUGUUUCAAAUUAAAGCUUUGAGUUUUAGAGAAGAGAGAAAAGCUCCAAGAACCUAGAAUUACCAUGGUGAUCAAAGUCUUGAAUGUUUCUUGUGAAGCAAGAUUGUUUGAUUCUUAACCUGAUCGUUUUGCACACAGAAGGUGCUUACUGCUUGAUCAUGAGCUAUGGCAAUCGUUGAGAGUUGUUGUUUCCUUGUAGUGUAUACAGGAAGAGGAACGUGGUUCUUGACUUUGAGGGGGAUGUCAAAGGGUUGACUGCAGGAAAGGAUCGUUCUUGCUACUAGUCUGUUGUUGUAUUUGCCUAUAUUAGAUUAGUGAGUUAGAGAGGUGAUUUACAUUUUGACGUGAGGUCGCUGUAAAGCCCUUGUUGUAAAAACUCAGAUCUUUAUAGUGCACUGGCUUCCAAUCUUGGGUUGAGUGGAAGGACACUGGAUGUAGGCAGAUUGGCCGAACUAGUAUAAAAAUCAGAGUUUGCAUUUUCUUCUCCUUUACUCUUUGCAUUUAAUCCAUUGCAUAUUAUCUGUAUUCGAAUAUGCAUACUGUUAUAUAUGAGGGAACUGAUGCAGUAAAGCGUGCCAUAAAGAAUUCAUUCGUACAAGAAUAUGAAAUUUUUAGGAUGAAAGUCGGGGAAACCACCUAUGAUGUGCAAAAGAGGUUCACACACAUUGUCAAUAAUCUGAUGGCUCUCGACAAGGCAUUUGAGAAAGAAGAAAUUAAUAUCAAAAUCUUGAAGAGCCUGAACUCGUUUACGUCGAAAAGAAAGAUAAUUGACAUAAAGUUAACGUCUUUUAUGCGCAUCGACGUUAAAGUACGUCCUAUAGAAUAGAACUUGACGUCCAAAUAUUUGAAUAAAUAUUUAUUUUUAAAGAAAGAUUUUUCGUCAUAUCGUCGGGGAAACUGACGUAAUAUUGACGUCGGCAUUGAAGAAUGAUGACGUAAUAUUCACGUUGAAGAGUAAAUUUGACGUUAAUUUUUUAAUAAAUAUUUAUAUUUAAAGGAAUAUUUGACGUCUAUUAUAAGGUGAUUGAUGUAAGGUUGACGUCGAACAUGUUUACAGUCGACGUUAAUAUCGCUGAGCCGUAGUGAUCCUAGCCCAGCGUUUUAUUAUUAUCGUUAUCCACUGCAUUAUAUCAACGUCACUCGUCGCCGUGAUGGACGUUAAGAUACAUAUAUUAACGUCGGACAGUGUAUAAAUUGAUGUUACCUUCAGUGUUUUUUAUUAAACUUCGUUCGUUUUAGCUCAUUUAACCAAACCUGAAAUACAAAAACCAGUUUUCCAAUUCCUAAAUGCACAAAAUUAAUUAAUUUAAACCAUGUCAUCAUCAAUUCCAAUUUAACAAUAAAAGUAAAAGACGCUAAUGCUAUCAUCAAAACUUAAAAGAACCCACUUUUCCAUUCAUCUAUUCACAGUAUUCAUCUAUUCUGAAUAAUCUAUUCACAGUAUACAUCUAUUCACAGUCAAUAAGCUGCACAAGUAAGUAAAUGCUAUUAUCAUGAAAGGAAAAAACAUAAAACUAUAGCUAGUUAAAAUGUUUAUUCAAAUAUCCUGCCCAUUCCUCUCUUAUGGACUUUAAUAACGCAUUGGACAAUGGAGAGGUAUCGUUGAAUUGCUGCAAAAUCAUGGAAGGAAACUUUACAAUUAUAUUCGUUUUAAUGUCAAAAGUUUAUUGAUAUUUUUAAGAUUUUCAAAUGUAAAUUUCUACCUCAAUCCACUGUCCUCUGAUUCCUGCUCGGAUGAUUGCCUUGAUCCAUGACAAGACGUAGUAGGCACAUGCCCAGGAAUCAUUCUGCUUAUUACACUAAACAUGUGAAAGAACUUAGUCAAAUGUAAUGGUUUAAAAUUGACUACAAAAAUUAAAGGUUAAAGUAUAACGAAUUCCAACCUUAGGACAUAUAAUAUCAAUUUGUUGUCCUCUAGUCCUAGUCAGAACUUUAAACAAAUUUGAAACAUUAGAAACAUAAGUUAAUAUUAUUAAUAUCAUAAUGAAUUAAUAAGAAUGAAUGUAAUACUUAUGUUUGUAUCAAGGACUUCAAAUCCGCUUUCAUCUUCCUAUGAAGAGAACAAAACCAUAUAACUUGUGCGUUUUUUGGAAUGAUCACCGCGAGUUGCCAGUGGCCCCUAUCAUGUACCAACAACCAGUGAGUUUAUUGAUUAAAAUUUGAUAAAAGUUGACAAUAUUGGGAAAACAUACGCUUCAAUGUAUGGCACCAUAUAUAACUCUCUGUUAGACUCGGUCAUCCAUGUUUGCAUAUAUUUCUUUCUGGAAUCUAAUGUGUUUCCAGAUGGUUGGAUGGUCUGAGGUUCAAGAAAGCCAUAAAUUGACCCCCGACCUGAUUCUACUGCGACGGUGUCCAUGUACCUAUAAGAAUAAAGUUAAGUAUAUUUAUUAAAAUAUCAUAAUACUAAUAAUAUACAAAUUGGAAAAUAAGAAAUAAAAAACUUACAUACACCACAGUUGUAUGCAUGAAAUGUUCAACAUUCUAUCUCCACCAAUCAGCUCAUAUGCAUCUUGGUAUUCAAUAUACAAUGGAAUAUGGAACUUGACGCCAAACGUUCUUAAGUCCCACUACAGGCUACCAAUGUUUUUUUCAACUGAGGUAAUCUUAAGAGCAAUAUGGAUUCAGGAUCAUCGUCUUCUGCUUCCACAUGAGCCUCAGGUUGAGCCAUUGCUUGUUUCUCUGGUCGGUAGACCUGCAAGUCACAUUUACAGAAGUUAGGAAUCAUUUAAUUAUAACUUGAAGAUUUAAGAUAAUAAAAAUAAGAAUGCACUACCGCUGGUGGGCCAAAAUAUGGAACGAUCAAGGUCUUAGGCCAAGCUAUAAAUGUGCCUAAGGCCUCCCCCACGAAUUGGAUUUCAUCUGUCGGCACUGGCACUUGAGACUGGGGGUCUCUAAAAUCAUCAAUCCUUACCCGCGCGUCAGUGGGCAAUAAAGGAACACUAUGAAUGGUCUGGCCUCUUGCAAGCUGUACUCAGAUGGUCACUGCGCGCGAACGAUCCUCAUCAACCAAAAACUCAUAUUGAAUAUUAUAAUCAGUAUGAUCUGCAUUGGAGCAUGAGUCUUUGGUGCUCACGGGAGGUGGGGUAGGCUCAUCUAUAGGGGCAUCCUCCUGCUAUGAAUGUUCAUGUUGGUGUUGUAGUAUGAUCAUCGCAAGUUCUCGUUCGAGCGUUCUUAAGCAUUAUCCCAUUCGCUCCUCUAAUUCGACUUGCACUUUUUCUGUGAUGCUAUUAACCAAUUCCGGAGUCACGACUUCUAUGCUUCUUGGUUUAAGGCCAAAGUAGUCCCUCAAUCUAGUAGCUCCUCCAACAGCAUGCACACGACCUGGACGGUCUAGCCGACUUGUGGUUGCUACUAGGAGGUCCUCCCUACCUUGUGCCACAAAUGUGCCUUGAGUCUGUUGCUCAACCAAGUCAUCCUACAUAUCAUAAUAGACAAAGUUACAUAAUUUUUUAUGAACUAUGGUAAUUAGUUAAAAGUUUCCACUUACAAUUCUAUUGGAUAUGUCUUGAGCAGACUGGGAUGUAAAUUGGCCAUUGGACUUUGUCCGUGCAGCCUUCCACAGUUCAUGGAGGUGUGAUAACGGUCUAAAAAUGUUACUUUCAUACUUAAUAUUGAUAUAAAAACACACCCUUUAUGGCUUAGAAUGAGCUUAAAAUAAAGUAAAACACUUAGUUGAGUCAUGUGAGAGUCAAAAGUUGGUUUUAGAGGUAUUAUGCUUGUUUUUACAUUGUUUUGCAAGGUUUUGAGGUGAAUUGAAGAUUGAAGUAAAGCAAGGUGGACUUAGACUUGUGAAAGAUGAAGAAACAAGAUGAAAAGAAGAGUCAAAGGGACCGUUGAGCGUUAAAAUGGACCGCUGGGCGGCCAGUGCGAUUUGAGGCAAACUGCUCAGCGGCAAAACUGAUCGUUGAGCGGUGGUGCGGCUAAAGGGGAAAUCGCUGAGCGGUUUGCUUAGGCACUGAGCGGUUGUCUGUUUUUAUUAGCUCAGAUUCUGUGAUCUUUUUGUUAUCUUUUUGGUCUAUAAAUAGACCCAGUGUGAUUUAGAAUGUAAUCUUUUGGCAGAGAGAAAUGUCCAGAGCUAUUCUACACACCUUGGAGGAGGUUCCUUGGAUGCUUAGGCUCCAAUCUACAAAAUUUAGGGUUUGCUUUUCCAUUCUUCCAUUGUAUUUCUUCUAGAUUCACCAUGAUUAUGGUGAACUAAACCUUAGGUUGUUGGGGAACAAUGUAAUCUUUUGAAAUUCUUUUAUAUCAAAAUUCUUAUCUUCUUUAUAUGCUUGGAUAUGCUUACUUCUCCAUAUGAAGAGCUCAAGUGCGUGAAAUGAUGUUAAUAAUUUCAGAUCUGUGAUGAUAUUGUCAUACUUGCUGCUAGUUGAUUUGAUUUGUUGUUUUCAAUGUGUCAAAAUGCUUAACUAAGAGCUAAUCCAUAAUGAACACCAUAUGAGCACGAAAUUGCCUCUGCAAUUAGCUUGGUGAUAGACUGGAAAGUCAUUUUGCAUUUCAGUUUGCAGUAGACCGAUUUGCAUUUGUUGUUGGAGUCCAUUUUUUUUUUGCUUUUUUUAAUCUGCUUUAGCAUUAGAUCAUUGCUGGACAUCUUCCAUUAAUUCAUAGUGUUGUUCAACUUUUCUUUGUUGAUUUGAGUCCUGUGAUUUGUUAACCAGUUGCUGCAUCUUUAGUCUAUCUCUGAUUCUGGUUGAGCAUUCUAAUUGGAUUGUAGCAAAAGGAGUGGUCAUGUUAUCUUCAGCAUAAAACAGUCAUUAUAAAAAAAAAAAAGAAGAAGUCCAAUUAAAAGUUCUGAAAAACCAAAUAGGCCUGUGCAAUCCAUGUUCUUAAAAACUAAAACACAGAAUCAGAUUUUGGAAACUGGAACUGGGUUUAUUUUUGACAAUUCAGCAGCUUCUUGUUUGUGUUUUCUUGUUUUUUUUUUUUAAAUCUGUUAUAGUGCCAAUCAUAGGAUCUGUUUGAGUGCUUCCUUUAUUGAAAGCUUUCGUUUCUUGCUUGUCUUGAUUGAUAACUCUGGUUUUGUCCAUCAAGUGCAUACUGUUCUGCUAUUCUUAAUUUGAGCUUUAAUUGCUUUAAUAAUCUGAUCUAGAGCCUGUCUUGAGUUGUCUGUUCUACUGUGCUGUCUUUGCUUGUGGCUGUCUUGUUGCCAUUCCAUUGCUUUGCUGUCCUGUUUUUGUUCUGUCAUCUGGUUUGAGAAGCUUUACACUUUGGUUUUUGGAAUUUGGAAAGAAAGGUUUGUGUGCUUGGUAGCAUCUUAGGUGGUGGUGGUCUAAAAGACUCUCCAACCUUGAACUGACAAGGGAGAAUCUCCCUUCCAAACCUUCAUUUAUGUGUUUCAUGUUUUUAAAGAGAAGCCUUCAGAAAAAUUCUUGAGUUUGUGAGCUUUGUGUGGCUGCAUCUAAGAGCCAAAUAUCCUUGUUGAGAGUGUGUCGUACUAAAGUCUGAAUCUGAAUUGUGCUCACCCAAUAUAUUUGUGCAGUUUUUGCUUUGAUUGUCAUUUACAGGUGAUGCUGUGUAGAAGUUUGUGCAGUUCUGAAUAGAAGACUUGUGCUGAUUGGAGUUGAACAACUAGAAGCAGCCAUAUAAGUUGAAAGGGAGUUGUUUAAUUCAUUACUUCUAUCUUGUUUGAGCUGUUUUUCUAGUUAAAUUGCCAAAUUUAAGCCUUGGAAGUUCUGCUGAAUUCAACUCUGAAUUUUCUAUGCAGUAGAUUGUAAAUGGAUAGCAAGAUUUGGGACACGUGAUUUUCUGCUGCAUUGAACAAGGAUUUUUGAACAAGGGGCUAUAGUGGUCGUGGGUUGUAACAGUAGAGAGCAAUAAGGAGCUGUGAGCUGCACCAGCCGAGAGAAAGGGAAGUGCUUACUACCAUAUAUAUUUCUUUGUAUGUGCAAACUGUUUGGCUGAGUGUGUAAGUGACAAAAUCUUUGUGUCUUUGUGUUACAGAAUUGGAACAGCUAGUUUAUUGGUUAGACCGAGAGCUGAAAAGCAUAUUUGGACACUUGAAGAUUUUGUUCAAGAUGAAUGAAGUGGAAUGGGACUAGGACCGUAGCAGACCAGUAGCGUAGUUUUUGGUUUUGUAAAUUUGUUUUCUUAUUUUUUGUGUGUGUAAUCUGAUGGGCCUGUGUUUAGCCCACUGGUAGCUUUAGUUUUGGUUUGUAAAUGGCCUUUUAUAAAGUCCAAGUAUUUGGAAGAGUCCUUGGUGCUCUUUCCAAAUCUUGGCAACUUUAAUUGCUUUACUUUUUAGCAUAGCUAGACAUAGGAGUAAACUUUAAUUUUGAAUUGCUUAUGUGUUUCGCGUUAGGUGUGACCUUUGUCACAUUAGAGUCCGUACGUUUUUAGGGGUCUUAGAGUCCGUUUUCAUUGUUGUUUCUUUUGAGUCUUGCACUUUGAUUUUAAAAAUGUCUUGUUAUUCAUCUAGGAUGUCUAGUUCAUACAUUAAGGAUGAUUUGUGUAAUAAAGCUAGCAAAAUUCCCUUCUUUGGUAAAGAUACAAAUGUUUUAACAUACCUAGUNNNNNNNNNNNNNNNNNNNNNNNNNNNNNNNNNNNNNNNNNNNNNNNNNNNNNNNNNNNNNNNNNNNNNNNNNNNNNNNNNNNNNNNNNNNNNNNNNNNNNNNNNNNNNNNNNNNNNNNNNNNNNNNNNNNNNNNNNNNNNNNNNNNNNNAAGGUAGAAAAUCCACCAUUGAAAAUUGGUAUGAAUUGAGAUCGUGCAUGAGAAGAAAGUUUGUGCCUUCAAAUAUUCAAAAUAACUUAGAACAUAUGAGAGAGUUUAUUAGAGAAGGCAAGUCAUUCAUUGAAAAAUUAAGUGGAUUCAAUCGUAGGGAAAUAGAGUUUAGAGAAAAACUCAUGAAGUUCUUGAAUGAGGAAAGUAAAAGGAGAUUUGAGAGAGAACAUAGGCAAUUACAAGAAAGAAUAGAGAGACAAGAGAGAAAACAAGAAGAAGAAAGACAAAGAGAAAGAGAGAAAAAGAGAGAACAAGAGAGAAAAGAAGAGGAAGAAAGAGUGAGAAGAGAAGAAGAAGAUAGAGAGAAAAAAGAAGAGGAAGACAGAGAGAGAAGAUUACAAGAGAGAAGAGAAGAAGAGAAAAUAAGAGAGAAAAAAAAGAAAGGAAGAGGAAGAGAAAGAAGAACUUAAAAAGAAAGACAUGGAAGAAAAGAAGAAAGAAUUGGCAACAUCCCCUAUUCUCACAAUAGAACACAAAUUUUUAAGGGGAGGUUUUCUAUCUUUUCACUUUCCAAUUGUUAUUGAAUGCUUUAAUUUUACCUUUUCUUUCCAAGAAUUUGCCAUUAAACCUUUUCAAAAGUUGCAAUCUUUAACACAUGGCAAUCAAAGACUNGAGUUAGAGAUAUCUUCCAAGUUAUCACUAAUUCAAGACAAAAAUAUAUUUUCAAAUGGAGUAAGGAUUCUUUUUAGUCAUAAACUUGAAAAUUUCAAAGUUAGGAAACCUUCUUCUAAACAUCUUUCUUUAUACAUCUUAUUAGGUCAAAUAAAACUAAUUAGAGAUAUGUUUGAUGCUUAUUGCAGAUUAAUAUUUGAUCCAGGAGGAACUUCCAUGGAGAUUACAAUAAUAAGUCCUCAGGCGAACCAUCAGAUUUGAGGACAAAUCCUUUCCAAGAGGGAGGGGAUGAUACGCGGGGCCCAAGCCCAAUGUCUUUAGUUUAGUAUUUCUUUUAAUUGUAUUAGAGAUGUGUACAAUAUGUUAGGCAUGUGGUACAUUUAGCCUUAUAUAUAGGCAUGCUAACACAUCUUGUAAUUACUUUUGAGCUUAAUGAGAAUUUAGUUUUCUAAAUAAGAAAAUAAUUCUCCCUUGAAAGUUAGGCUAGAGAGUCAAAGGGACCUCCUCAAGCCACCUUCCAGCACACUACCUCAUUCUUUCAUUUCUCACUUUACCAUUGUGUUGUUUCUCUCCUACACUACGUCUCUCCUCCACAUAAACCAAUCUAUUCACACCACUCGUUCCACUACGAAACCUACGCGUGGCGUGCAUCAGACUCCCCAUCUUCAUAUCUCACUGCCUGCAUCAUUUCCAUUUCGACAUUUCCCAAACCCUAAAUGCUCUCUUCCUCCCGGACGGCCUCCAUCGUUGGCUCUCCAUCACCAGAUCUCGACUCCAUCACUAAUCCAAGUCCAGAAUAGCCUCUUCCAUCAGGUUUGUCAUCAUUUUACCGAUUGUAAACCCCGAAUCCUUCCCUUCCAUCGAUCCAAUCGGUGAAACCUCUCGUUUCACCGUUCAAAUAGUUUUUCCUCCGAUUAUUUCGAAGUUCCACCGAUUAAAUCCUCUUCUUCCACGAACCCUAGAAUUUUUACCGGUCAAACCACACAAACCUAGGGUUUUGUUCUUCCGCUGCAUCAUUUGUCAGACUCUGAGCUCGAUCCGCACCAGAUCUAUGGCUCUUCGCCAGAGUCUCUCGUAUAAGGUUCUUUACCUUUGCUUAAUGCUUUUAUCGUUUAACUCAUUCGAUAAUUGUUGUUUGUCUUUAUUGAUACGGGAACGUACAGUAAUGUCAUGAAUUGUGGGGAAUUCCUUGAUUAUGCUAAUACCACGUAGGGGUAGGACAAUCAAUUGUAUUUUGCUUCUGUUCAACAUGCAUUAUUAAUUACUAGGGAAGGCUAGGGAUAACAAGCCGGUAAUUAGUAAUAGGCUCUUUUUGCCAAGGAAUUGGGUUAAGGGUAGACCAAGAAAGUGUGCAUGACAAUAUGAUAAAUAAGCAAAUUAGAUAAGAAAAGUAGAUAUAAGAGGGUGGAUAAGGUGAAAUUAGGUUACAAGAAAGUUAAGGGCUAUGAGUCCUUUGGGAAACGAUACUUGGACUUACCCAUUUUAUAUUACUUAAUAACGAUCUGGUAGAAUUGCCAGGGACUUAACAAGAUUUUGGCGCCGUUUGCGGGGACUCUUGGUUUAACUUAUCUAGUAGUGUAAACUGAUUAAUUUUGACUUGAUUGUAUAUAUUUUAUUUUUGAUUUUUGCUUUUGUUUUUGUUUAUUUUUAUAUAAAAGUGCUACUAGGGUUUGUGUUUCUUGUGCAUGCAGUAGGAGACUAGACAUACUAGGACCAAGAAAAAUACGCAACCUCUUCUUGAAGGCUUAAGUGAGACAAAGGGAAGAAGGAAAGUCAGACGCCCAUCUAGGGAUUUGUUUCCUUCUCUUAGCAGAUUACUAUCACUUUCACCGGUUCGUAGAGCAGAGGAGAUGGCUAAACGACCUCCUCCAAGACGCACUCUUGCAGACCAAUCUAAUAAUGUUGGCCCUUUCCACUUCAACAGCAUAGCCAUGCCUACGGAUCAAACCACCAACAUGGUGAUGAAUCUAGCACUUACACACCUGGUGCAAAGCAACCAGUUUCACGGCUUGUCAAAUGAGAACCCAUAUGACCAUUUGACAACGUUUAGUGAAAUUUGCAAUACUGUGAAGAUAGGAGGUGUAUCAGAUGAGAGAGUAAAGCUUAGCUUGUUCCCAUUCUCAUUGGGAGGCAACGCUAAGGCGUGACUUAAUUCCUUUCCUGAAGGGACGUUUACAACAUGGGAGACUGUGGCUACAAAGUUUGUCACCAAAUAUUUUCCACAGUCUAAAGUUACUCAGGGAAGAUUGAAGAUCUCGUCAUUCAAGCAAGGCAUGGAAGAGACUCUAGGUCAAGCAUGGGAAAGAUUCAAAGGCCUACUAAGAAAGACACCAGUCCACGAGUUUGACAAGACAACCCUAGUUCUUGCUUACCUUGGUGGUCUGAACAUGCAGUCUAAGAUGAUGAUGGAUGCCUCAGCUGGAGGUGAUAUUAAACAGAAGACUGAUGAUGAAGCCUAUAACUUGAUAGAGAGUAUGGCUACUAAUGAGCAGGAAAUGUUUAGUGAAAAGGGCGCACCUACGCAAAAGAGAGGAGUCUUGCAUUUGCCUACAGAUGAUGCCAUGCUAGCUCAGAACCAUCUUCUGACCCAAAAGCUGGACAAUUUGACAAAGAUUCUUUCACAACUUCCUAAGGAGAUUCGUAAUGUCUCCCAAACGCAGCAGUUGUGUGAUUUCUAUUGAGGUGACCAUAUCAAUGGUCAAUGUGUUCUACCAGAGGGGAUGCAGCAGGAAGCCAACUAUAUGGGAAACCAGUUCCAGUAUAGGUAGGGUAACUUCAACCAAGGCAAUUCUAGCCAAGGUUGGAAGAACCAUCGUAGCAUUUGACUAGCACAAAAUAACCCAUCAGGGAAAACAAGUGGUUUCAGGGAGCAACAACCUUCACCAUUGUGGCAACAGGUUACUCAUUUGACAGAGUUUGUCAAAGAUCAAAGUGAUAGAUUUGACAAAUUCCUGAAGGUGUAUGAGUCUAAUCAUGCCAGUGACCAAGCUAGUUUCAGAUCCAUGGAGAUGCAAAUUGGUCAGUAGUCAAAAAGAUUAGAGAACACUGAGAAAAACCAAUUUAGGGUUAACACUGAUGUUAACCCUAAAGAGGAAUGCAAAGUUGUUGUUACAAGGAGUAAAAGAAAGGCAGAAAGGGAAGUUGUGGAAAUUGGGAGUAGUGAAGAUGAGGAGGAGGAAAGAGAAAUUAUUGAGCUAGACAGUAGUGAAGGUGAAAGUGAAGAAGAAGAGGAAGAGGAAGUAAGGUUCAGUCACAAUGGGCAGAUUAGAGAAAUUUUUAACCAGGUGACUGUGGUGCCUUCAAUAAUUCAACAGAUUCCUGCAUAUUCUGAAAGGAUAAAAUAUUAUCUUGGUGAUAUAAUAGAUUUAGAUGAAGACGAAGAGGAGCAGGAAUUUGUGAUUCAACCUCCAAAGAAGAAUUAUCCACCUAAGGUAAAAGAUCCAGGUUGUUUGACUCUUUCAUGUAUUGUGAAUGAUGUUGAUGUAGGAGGAGCUAUGAUAGAUUCUGGAUCUAGUAUCAAUAUGAUGCCCAAGCGUUUUCUGAGAAUAAUUGGAGGGCUAACAUUAAAACCGUCCAAUCUUACUGUGACGGUGGCGGAUGGUUCCACUAAAAAGCCAAUUGGUAUAGUGGAAAAUGUGCUUGUGCGAGUGGAGUAGCUAGAUUUUUUUGUGGACUAUAUAGUCAUGGGUAGGAAAGAUGAAGAGAGGAUUCCAAUGAUUCUUGGAAGACCUUUCAUGGCAACCUCAAAGAUGUUCAUUAGUUUCCAUGAUGGAAGAAUCAUGAUGAGAGACAAAGAAAAUAUGUUAUGUAUUGGGUCUAAAGAGAAGAAUGUUAGAGUUAAAAAGAGAGCCAGACAUAAAAAAGUCAAGAAGAGAAGCUGCAUCAGAUGAAGAAAGCACAACAGGUACUGACACUAACAGUUGUAAUGUUUUACAGGUACCGAAAGAGGAGGUUGAUAAAGGAGGAACAAUCCACUCAGAAGAUACAUCACUUCCACGUGGUUCACAACUGAAAUUCAAAAAUAGGAAGUGGAUUGUCAACAAGAUCAGAGAAUAUGGAUUGGUGGAGAUUAGAAGACCAUAUGUUAAAGCCAUCAAGGGAGUGGAUAGAAGGCAACUGAUGAGUUGGGUAGAUGAAGAUCCCAACCGGGAUGGAAAGACUUAAAGAUAUUUGAUUUAAUCCCACUUGUUGUAAAACAUUUUUAGUUUUAGGUUUAUUUGAUUUUGGACAUGUAACUUUUUGGAUUUUAAACACUUUUGGGUAGCAUCUACUAAGGGAUGCUAAAAUUUUAUAUGUAUCUACUGAAGGAUACAGGUAGGCACACCUACUGAAGGGUGUUGGAAGGAUAAACACUUACUGAUGAGUGCUAAAUAGGUUUGGGUCAAGCUCGUGAUGUUAAACAAGCGCUACCUGGGAGGCAACCCAGUUGAUUAUAUCUGUUUUUUUUUAACUCUGUGUUAAGUGCAUUGCAUGUUUGAAUGUUGCAUUUGAGAGGGGAAAGGUAUGUAAUUGAAAUUUUGAAAGUUGAAUUGAGUGCUACAGGGUUAGACUGCUCAAAAGAAAGCAAAGAAGAGAGGAAGAAAAACUACUGCAAACCGCUAAGCGGCUCAUUUUUCCGCUGAGCGGUUGCGGCGGAAACUUGUCUCGGCUUUGUUUAAAGCUGAGCGGUUUCUAAGUUUUUCAUUCUGAAACCUCUUCUUUGAAGUUUGCCCAAGCGGUCUCCUUAAGCCCUAACAUUUGUAUCUCACUUUCAAGAGCUUUUUAGAGAGAUUUCUCCACUUUCUCAUCACCCACUCACCAAAAUCUCAAUUUUAUACCAUUGUCUUGUCAAAGUUUGGGGUUUUUGGUUGAGGGUUGUGCAUUGGAGAGGGCAUUCAUCAUCAAUUAGAAGAUUUUAGCAAACAUUCAAAGUCUCCACUCAAGUAAGUCGUGCAAUUUCAUGUUUAGGGUUUCUAUUUUUGAAUUUGUUGAAGAACAUGCCUAGGAACAUGAUAAAUUAAGGUUAUGAUUUCUAUGCAUGAUUUGGUGAAAUAGAAAUUGUUUGAACCGAUUGAAUUGCAUGAAAUUGAUCUGGAAUGGUAUAAUAGGUGUUAGAGUUGAGAUUAGGGUUUUUAAAAAAGGAUUUUUGAAAACCUAGUUGAAAACCGCUGAGCGGAAUUCAUCUGGUUUGGGUAUUUUGAUUUUUUUUGGAUGCUUGGAUGCUGGGGGGCCCUGUUUUUCCCUUAGUACCGAACUGUGUGUGUUGUGGAAAUUAAAUUGAUGAUGUACUAACCUCUAAUGAUGAUUUUGUGAUGUUAUUGAAGUUAUUUGAUACAGGAAUGUCUACCUCAAGAAGAGUGAAGUCCAUAGGCAACAAGAGAAAGGAGCCAGAGAGACCAAGGAAAUUUUAUUCUCCUAGGUUUAUUUCUAAGAAGCAUGAGGAGCAUUAUGCAACUGUACAGGAAAGGCGUUUGCUGAUGGAAAGGAAUGCCAUGUACAUCCCUGACCUAGCUCCAGAGUUUGGAUUGGGGAUAGAAAGGCGAGUUUGGGAGAGAUUGACUACAUAUCCUGCAGUAGCUAACAUUGAGUUGGUAAAGGAAUUCUAUACCAAUGCCUUGGUCAGAGGAGGAGUAUCAACUGGAAGGUACAUGAGCUAUGUGAGGGGCCAGAUUAUCAGAUAUGAUCCCAACACUAUCAACAACUUCCUAGGGACUGAGUGGCCAGGAGAGUAGUGUAGGUAUGCUGCUAUUCUAGGGGAGCACAGGGAUUAUGAGGACAUCGAGAGGGUGAUAUGUAUAUGAUAACGGUCUAAAAACCGUUAUUUUCAUGCUUGAAUUUGAUAGUAAAGCACACCCUUUAUGGCUUAGAAUGGGCUUUAAAUCAAGUAAAACACUUAGUUGAGUCUCUUGAGAGUCAAAAGUUGGUUUUAGAGAUAUUAUGCUAGUUUUGCAUUGUUUUGCAGGGUUUUUAAGAUGAAUUGAAGAUGGAAGUAAAGUAAGGUGGACUUAGACCCUUGAAAGAAGGAGAAAUAUGAUGAAGAGAAGGGUCAAUUCUACCAAAAUAGUUUCAACCCUUGAUAGGAUUCCACUGAAAAUCUGAAUUGAAUAAUAACUUGUCAUGAGAAAAAUGAGUUUUGAAAGUGUUGAACUAUUUGAUGAAGUGGAAAGCCAAGUUUUGUCUUGUUUUCUUGAGGACAAGCAAAGUUCUAAGUUUGGGGUUGUGAUAACAGUCUAAAAACUGUUAUUUUCAUACUUAAAUUUGAUAUAAAAACACACCCUUUUAUGGCUUAGAAUGAGCUUAAAAUCAAGGUUUAAUACCUAUUUUGGUCCCUCCUUUGGGAGGGUUUGUUCAAAGUGGUCCCUCCUUUUUUCAAAAGUUCACUUAAGUNNNNNNNNNNNNNNNNNNNNNNNNNNNNNNNNNNNNNNNNNNNNNNNNNNNNNNNNNNNNNNNNNNNNNNNNNNNNNNNNNNNNNNNNNNNNNNNNNNNNNNNNNNNNNNNNNNNNNNNNNNNNNNNNNNNNNNNNNNNNNNNNNNNNNNNNNNNNNNNNNNNNNNNNNNNNNNNNNNNNNNNNNNNNNNNNNNNNNNNNNNNNNNNNNNNNNNNNNNNNNNNNNNNNNNNNNNNNNNNNNNNNNNNNNNNNNNNNNNNNNNNNNNNNNNNNNNNNNNNNNNNNNNNNNNNNNNNNNNNNNNNNNNNNNNNNNNNNNNNNNNNNNUUGAACAGUUUUUGCAAAAGGUAGGACUUAAGUGAACUUUUGAAAAAAGGAGGGACCACUUUGAACAGUUUUUGCAAAAGGUAGGACUUAAGUGAACUUUUGAAAAAAGGAGGGACCACUUUGAAUAGUUUUUGCAAAAGGUAGGACUUAAGUGAACUUUUGAAAAAAGGAGGGACCACUUUGAACAAACCCUCCCAAAGGAGGGACCAAAAUAGGUAUUAAACCUAAAAUCAAGUAAAACACUUAGUUCAGUCAUGUGAGAGUCAAAAGUUAGUUUUAGAGGUAUUAUGCUUGUUUUUACAUUGUUUUGCAGGAUUUUGAGGUGAAUUGAAGAUGGAAGUAAAGCAAGGUGGACAUAGACUCGUGAAAGAUGAAGAAACAGGAUGAAAAUAAGAGUCAAAGGGACCGCUGAGCGUCAGAAUGGACCACUGACCAGCCAGUGCGAUUUGAGGGAAACAACUGAGCGGAAACACUGACCGCUGAGCGGUGGUGCGGCUAAAUGGGAAAUCGCUGAGCGGUUUACUUAGGCGCUGAGCAGUUCUUUGUUUUUAUUAGCUCGGAUUCUGUUAUCUUUUUGGUCUAUAAAUAGACCCAAUGCGAUUUAAAAUGUAAUCUUUUAGAAGAAAGAAACGUCCAGAGCUAUUCUACAUACCUUGGAGGAGGUUCCUUGGAUGCUUAGGCUCCAAUCUACCAAAUUUACGGUUUGCUUUUCCAUUCUUCCAUUGUAUUUCAUCUAGAUUCACCAUGAUUAUGGUGAACUAAACCCUAGGUUAUUGGGGAACAAUGUAAUCUUUUGAAACUCUCUUAUAUCAAAAUUCUUAUCUUCUUUAUAUGCUUGCAUAUGCUUACUUUUAUCAAUUGUUGGGUUCCUUACCUUUGCUUAAUGCUUUUAUCGUUUAACUCAUUCAGUAACUGUUGUUUUUCUUUAUUGAUACGGGAACGUACAAUAAUGUCAUGAACUUGGGGGAAUUCCUUGAUUAUGCUAAUACCACCUAGGGAUAGGGGUAUGACGAUCAAUUGUAUUUUGCUUCUGUUCAACAGGCAUUAUUAAUUACUAGGGGAGGCUAGGGAUAGCAAGCCGGUAAUUAGUAAUAGGCUCUUUUCGCCAAGGAAUUGGGUUAAGGGUAGACCAAGAAAGUGUGCAUGACAAUAUGAUAAAUAAGCAAAUUAGAUAAGAAAAGUAGAUAUAAGAGGGUGGAUAAGGUGAAAUUGUAAAUCCCAACAACUUCAUUCAUCCAUAGUUUUCUUUUAGCCAAUUGAUUAACUACAUUUGCAUGUUUACUUUUGUUUUUGUAUUUAAAAACUCAAUUUAAUUCUUCUCUCAAGUCUUACAAAAUUAGAUUACACGAAAGUUAAGGCCUAAGAGUCCUUUGGGAAACGAUACUUGGACUUACCCAUUUUAUAUUACUUUAUAGAUCUGAUACACUUGCCAGGGACUUAACAAGGUGCUAGAUCAGGUGACUCGAGACCUAACUCCUUAGCUCGAUGUUUUCUCAUCUUUUUCUCUAACAACACAUAACUACCAUGAGAAAGUACGUGUGGUGUAUCAUUAAGCCUCUGCCUUUCCUGGGCGGCUAUCCCUUUCACCUAUGAAAAAAAUGAAAAUUAUUAAGCAUAAAUCAGAAAUUAACAUCGUGUCUUGUGUGACUAGAGAAAAAUAUUAUAAAACAUACCUGUCAUUCAGGAGUAAGUCUAGAUUCUUUAAACUACACCCACUGCUCAUCAGAUAUUUUAUACCUUGAACAGGGAGUGUCGUUCUUUUUAGAGCGAAAGACGAAUUUACAUGUCAUUGACGUCUUGAAGUCCCUCCACCGGGUUGCAAUUUGGGCUAAAACCUUCUUCCUUAUCCUCUCAUCAUCAAGAAUAACCCAACCUCUCUGUUAAAAUAGAAAAUUAAUGUUAAAGCAUGUUCAACGAAAAUAAGUCAAUGAUGGAAGUAAAACAAUUUCAAGUACAUACCAAAAUAUCCUGCCAUAGUAGAUCUUUCUCAACCUUUGACACAUCACCCCAACGGUUAGCGAAAAUAGGGACAUGAAAUCUUGCCAGUGUGCCCAAGUAACUCUUAAACUUUGUUGCAUGUUCGCCUAUAGGCAUAAAUGUUUUAGGAUCAAACUCCAUUGGCAAUGGUUUAUCAUUAACCCGACGGGAUGUGACACCAGGUAUCCGAGUCACAGAUCUAACACCUUCUCCCGUCUGACCUGAUCCAGAGCUCGUCAUACCUGUUUACCAAGUUAGUAAAUUAUAGUUAGAACAUGCAACGAAUGGUGACACUGGAGAAGAUAACGAAGUUCGCUGACAACGAACGAACACAGACAUCAUACGUUGAAGGAAAAAAUAAACUAUUAUACAUAUACCAUAUGUCCAAAAUCGAAAAACACAACACAAACACGAGCACAUACAUCAUACAUAUGAGAUAUCGAAGAUAAAAAAAACAUACUUGAAAUGGUGUAACUGGAGAAAGAUGAAGUUCCCUGACCACGUACGAAACACAGCCUGAAGAUAAACGAAGAAGAUUCGUCAAGACUUAGUAAUGGGAACCAAAUGACAUUACAAGGCCAGAAAAGAUUAAAAAUAAGCUUCUUUCUUUAUCGCAGUCGUCCAUGAAGAAGAAAGUUCAAGCAUAAAUGGUAGCGCGAACAAAUAGUGAGACCGUGUUAUGUUUUUACAUUCAUAUUCCACGUCGAAAACAAGACAAAUUUCAUGUUAUAUUUAAAAACCACGUCGCAGACCAAAAUAAUUCGACGUUUCCAGUAAAAAACAGGCGCCUUUUUUUUUACAUAAUUUGCAAAGUUACGUCGCAGACUUAGUAUCUGACGCUUAAGGUUUUUCCAAUUCCUCUGCUUUUACUUUUUUGCUUUUGAACACGAGAGCAUUAAAUAGAGCGUCGUAUUGUCUGGGAAUUUGACGUUUUCUCUUAAUUAGCCGCUAAUAUCAGAAAGUACCAUACUUUUCGAUCUCUUUUCUUUUCACUCGUGCCAUAAAAUGUCGGAGGCUGCGGGGCAGGGACGUGAAGGGAAUUGAAGUAUGUUAGGAGCAUUAAUGGUGUUCUUAAUAGAACGUCGUAUUCGGUAGGGCUUUGACGUUUUUUUUCUUCCGCCAAUAUCAAAAUGUGGCGCUCUUUUUUCGUUUAAAAUCAAACAUGAAAUCUUUUCUUUUAACGUCUUCCUUAAUCAAUUCAAGUUAGCAGUGUAUUGAAAUUUGCACUUUUACACCAGUGAUCAGUUUUUGAUCAAUAUCAUAAUCGUCUCUAGUAUAAAAACGUUCUUGGGGUGUCUUCAUCACUUAUCGAUCCAGAUGGGUUUGCGUUUCUUGUAAGCCGAGCAACCUUCUUUUUUCUUCUUGUAACGUCUUUCACAAUGUAGAGUCUUUAACUCCUCAACUUAAAAACUAUACGUCGAAUUUUACUGGGCUUCGACGUAUUAAUUGAGAGUUUGAUAAAACACGUGUGAUUAGACGUUUUCUUCUUCAACCUCCCGCCCUUUGUUUCCUUCUUUUCUUUAAACCUCCAAUAACCUCCCUUUACCAUUAUAUUUUAAGAUAUGAUUUACAUACUUUUUUAAAAAAAUAUUUUAUAUAUAUUACUGUAAAUUUAUCUUAAAAUAUAAUAAUUAUUUGUGGGUCAAAUUUAAAGAGAAUGAAACUUAAUUUCUUUAAAAAAUUAUUAUAAUUUGAGAAAGAAAAUAAUAAUAAUAAUUAAUGAGAAUUAAGUUUAUACAUCAGGAUAAUUAAAAUCAUAAUAAAUAUUAUUAUAUUAAGAAAAGUCAUGUCAAAUUAAUGUUCUUUUAACAUAGUGUACACCGUAAAUGAAAUAUUUUUAUUAGAUUCAACAACAUUCCCAUAACUUAUAUUUCUUUCCUUUGCACUUUUAACUAGUGAUCAGUUUUUGAUCAAUAUCAAAACUGCAUAAUCUUCUCUUCUCAACUAGAUUGAGAGGUAGUCCACAUACAAUGCAAUCAACAUUCACAAUUCACAGAUCAUUUACUAAAAUAAAUCUUCAUUGCACUUCUAAAUAAAACCGAAGGAAAUAGAGAAACCAGUGAUGGCUUAAUAGCCAUGAUUACAAAAUUAAAAAAAAAAACACUUAGAAACGUAGUUCCUAUUAUUAUCAAGAAGAUUUCAUUUGAUCUUCACCACGAGUAGGUGGACUUCCGACAAUUUGCUCAUCAGUGAAGAACCAUUCAUUCUCAGUCCUUUUCAGCCCAAUAGAUGACAGACUUCGUAUACCAAUUUCUUCUGACCUUUUGCACACAAUUCUUUCUUCUUCAGAUACAUCUACUCCUAGGAGUUCCAGCACCUUGUUGAUAAAUACACCAUAUUUCAAUUUGUGUGCAUAAUGAUCUCCUGCAGCGAUCAUGUGGUCUUUUAGAACCGCAACCCAGUUGGUUGGGAUUCUAGUCUUGAUAGCAUUCAACAAAAAUACAUCUUCUGUUGACAUUCUGUCCUCGUUCAAUCUUCCAGGCAGUAGUAGCCAAGUCAAGACAUAAGCAAUAAUUCUCUCAUCCUUGUUUAAGCCAUCAUGUAGGUACUACUUAUCCACCCUGUACCUUCCUGGAUAUCUUAAGUAGUUUACAUAUAUAGCUCUCUUUGUUAGCCAUAUGUUUGACUCAGAAUCACGGAUAUGAGAAUCCAAACCUCCAGCUUUCAGACCAGUAAUAUUUGACCAAACAUCAUCGUCAAUAGUAAUGUUACCUUUGACCCUUGAGUGAAUGACCUCAUUUACAACCCUGAGGUUUGUGUAGAAAACCUUUACCAAAUCAGGAUAGCAAUUUCCUUUCAUCUGGACAAAAUUAGUAAGCCCUUGAUAUGUAAUCCAUUAUUGAAAAAGGAAACCUUCUUUCUUGAAGAAUUGCAGGUCCAGAUACCUGUGAGGAACUAAAAACUUUACUCGGGUCUCUUGAUCACUUAUCAAUCCAGACGGGCUUGCGCUUCUUGUAAUCUGGGCAACCUUCUCUUUUCUUCUUGAUGAUGAUGAAGAAGCCAUUUCUCAAUAGAAUUCUCGGAACGUCUUUCAUAAUGUAGUAGUUUUUAAUUUAUCAACUUCUUUGGUUUAAAAAUACAAACGAUACGUUGACUUCACAACUUCUCUUAAAAUAUAAUGUUAUACGUCGAAUAUUUUGGAUAUUCGACGUUUUCUGCUUCCGCUCCCGCCCUUGGUUUCAUUUUUUCAUCUAAACCGCCCAUAACCUCCCGCUACCAUUAUAUUUUAAGAUAAGAUUUACAUAUCUUUUUUUUUUUUUUUUAUUUUAUGAAGUAGAUGAUUUUGGAUAUUUGACGUUUUCUGGUUUUGCCUCCCGACCAUUUGCUACCCUCUUUUUCAUUUAAACCACCUAUAACCUCCAGUUACCAUUAUAUUUUAAGAUAAGAUAUACAUACUUCUUUUAUGUUUUUAUUUUAUGAUUUUGUGUAAAUUUAUCUUGUAAUAUUUAAAUAUUAUAUAAUUUAAGAUAUAUUUGUCGGCAAAAUUUAAGAAAGAUUUUGUACAAAUUUAUCUUGUAAUAUUUAAAUAUUAUUUUAAUUUCAUGUUAAGGCAGGUUAAGUUUGACUAAUGGUCCAGACUGGUUGACCCUACAUGAAUGUUGGGAUGGGUGAUUGAGACUAAAGGUCGAGAUAGACUAACAUAAGUAUAAUUUGAAGGUCAACCUAAUGUCAUUGGACUUUCUUCUCAACUUCUUAGGUGCCUUAAACAUUUAUACCUGUAUGUAGGGAACCAAGUACUUAUGAAACCACUUUGGAAGUCAUAAUAUGCAUUUGCAUUUUAGUUAUUAGUUUAGACGUCCAGGCCUGGUCAUAGUCGAGACGGCCAAGCCAGUGUGUAUCAAGAAUAGGUAGGUUUUAUCGAAGAACAACUACCGUCAUGAGUUAAAGGUCAAGACAAACCGAUAUCGACCAAAAAUUAACACAAAAUGGGUUGGGUCGAAGGUUAAGGCAGGUUAAGUUUGACUAACGGUCGAGACUGCUUGACCCUAAAUGAAUGUUGGGAUGAGUGUUUUAGACUAAAGGUCAAGACAAACUAACAUAAGUAUAAGUUAAAGGUCGACCGAAUCUCAUUGAACUUUCUUUUUGGGUUUCUUAGGUGCCUUAAACAUUUAUACCUGUAUGUAGGGCACCAAAUAUAUAUGUCGCCAUUUGGAAGUCAUAAUAUGCAUUUGCAUUCUUAUAAAGAUUAACAUCCUUGCAUUCGAUUCUUCUCUUACUUAUUAACCUGCUAGAUUGUGGCUUCUCCAUCUCUGUCUUCACUAGUGCAGCGAAGGGAAACGACCGUAGUUGUUUUUCCCUAUACGUUGCGGUUUACGAACCGCGACAUAUUCAGCGCGGUAAAGAGUUUGUGACUAUAGGCCACAGUUGGAACCGUGGUCAAAAGGUCUGCAAAUAGACCGUGGUUGUAGUAGUACCGCAAUCAAAACUCCUUUUUUUUUUAAAAAAAAAAUAAUUUUUCCAAUAUAGGCCGUGGUUCGAACCGCGGUAAAAGACUAAGAAUAGACCGCGGUUCAUGCCUUAACCGCGACCAAAAGUCUUUUUUAUAAAAAAAAUAAUAAAAAACGACACCUUUCUACCGCGGUUGUGGUAACAAUCGCAACAUAUUCUCCUUCAAUUUUUUCUAAAUAGCAGGUCUGUUUUUGUGAUAUCCACUACCACAGAAACAGACCUGCAUAUCAAAGACAUGUUCAAAUUCAAUUUCAACAGAUCAAACACAUUUUCAAAUGUAUUUUAACAUCACAUAAAGUACAAAGUCUAAUAAAAUAAAAUCUAAUAAAAUACAAUGUUUAAAUCUAAUAAUUAUGACCUAUUUUAUAAUCUAAUAAAAUAUUUUGCACCAGCUUUCCUCAUGAAUGAAUUUGGCUUCUCAGGAACUGGUGUAGUAGUCUUGAAUCUCUGUACAAAAUAUUUGAUAUUAAUAAGUGUAUAUGAAUUCUAAAUUUUGGAGAAAAUCAAAAUUUGUUAGAUUUAAAUAUUACUGUUUCCCAGCCUCUUGUGAUAUGAGAACGAAAAAUAUGGGUCAUCCAAUACAUUACAUAGUAUCCACACUCAUAUGACCCGCUCUGUCUCUUACACUACAAUAUAUCAUCACAGUUGUAAAUAG
Molecule: long non-coding RNA, 29880 nt
Filed under: Vigna radiata
Lineage: Eukaryota; Viridiplantae; Streptophyta; Magnoliopsida; Fabales; Fabaceae
Description: long non-coding RNA (VRAD_LNC012071)
Source: RNAcentral